ACACAGUGCAGAGACUCAGACUCCUCAAAUCCAGUCUUUAGUCCCAUCAUGAAAAGGAGUCAUCCCAAACACUGAGGCUAAUAUAUUAGCAGAGGCUACCCUCUUCUUCUUCUUCUAAAUACAUCAUG
This is a long non-coding RNA of Thalassophryne amazonica, 128 nucleotides long. RefSeq lists it as uncharacterized. The transcript is spliced from 3 exons. NCBI's taxonomy places the organism in Eukaryota, Metazoa, Chordata, Actinopteri, Batrachoidiformes, Batrachoididae. The record is from RefSeq and is a predicted model, not a curated record.